GACGAACGCUGGCGGCGUGCUUAACACAUGCAAGUCGAACGGAAAGGCCCUGCUUUUGUGGGGUGCUCGAGUGCCGAACGGGUGAGUAACACGUGAGUAACCUGCCCUUGACUUUGGGAUAACUUCAGGAAACUGGGGCUAAUACCGGAUAGGAGCUCCUGCUGCAUGGUGGGGGUUGGAAAGUUUCGGCGGUUGGGGAUGGACUCGCGGCUUAUCAGCUUGUUGGUGGGGUAGUGGCUUACCAAGGCUUUGCCGGGUAGCCGGCCUGAGAGGGUGACCGGCCACAUUGGGACUGAGAUACGGCCCAGACUCCUACGGGAGGCAGCAGUGGGGAAUAUUGCACAAUGGGCGGAAGCCUGAUGCAGCAACGCCGCGUGCGGGAUGACGGCCUUCGGGUUGUAAACCGCUUUCGCCUGUGACGAAGCGUGAGUGACGGUAAUGGGUAAAGAAGCACCGGCUAACUACGUG
This 468-nucleotide ribosomal RNA is filed under the name uncultured bacterium. RNAcentral's name for it is "partial 16S ribosomal RNA". It matches the Rfam family "Bacterial small subunit ribosomal RNA", at positions 28 to 507 of the family's 1533-position model. The record is from RNAcentral.